GUAGGUGAACCUGCGGAAGGAUCAUUAUUGAGAUAAACCUGAUGGGUUGUUGCUGGUUCUCUCGGGAGCAUGUGCACGCCUUGUCAUCUUUAUAUCUCCACCUGUGCACCUUUUGUAGACCUUACAAGGUCUAUGUUGCUUCAUUUACCCCAAUGUAUGUUGAUAGAAUGUCGUCCUAUAAAAUAUAUACAACUUUCAGCAACGGAUCUCUUGGCUCUC
Molecule: unclassified non-coding RNA, 219 nt
Filed under: rhizosphere metagenome
Description: partial ribosomal RNA internal transcribed spacer region
Source: RNAcentral